UCUGGUUUGAAUGCUUCCCACGUAUCUCCCC
RNAcentral lists this non-coding RNA (31 nucleotides) under Macaca fascicularis (crab-eating macaque). RNAcentral also lists the same sequence under 1 other name. The record is from RNAcentral. Lineage: Eukaryota; Metazoa; Chordata; Mammalia; Primates; Cercopithecidae.